Long non-coding RNA from Corvus hawaiiensis (hawaiian crow), 392 nucleotides. RefSeq lists it as uncharacterized. NCBI's taxonomy places the organism in Eukaryota, Metazoa, Chordata, Aves, Passeriformes, Corvidae. The transcript has 3 exons. The record is from RefSeq and is a predicted model, not a curated record.
UUCACUGUUAAGUUCGGGAUCCUGACUUUACUGUUUGCCAGGCCUGUGUUCCUCAAGAUCACAACUAGAGCCUGCUGACUACAGCCCAAGCUGCCUCCACUGAGCUCAUCUCCAUUUACUCCUGUGCUGCACCAAUGUGGAUCACACUGAGAAUGCAGGGGAAUUACCUGUUUUCCCAUGUGUUUCAAGGAUGAUGCAUGCUGAGGCAGGUUCAUACCCUGUUCUUGUCGUGUCAAGUUGCAGCUUCUGCUGAUGGUUAUAGCCUCCUUAUCUUCUUGUUUGUGCUUCUGCUGCACCUGGUAGAGCAUGGGAAACUAAAAAUGCCCUGGACUCAAGAUAGACAUUACUUAGCAACAGCCAAAAUGUAAGUAUGUUGCCAAUUUCCUUAUACU